UCGAGCGGUAACAGGAAGAAGCUUGCUUCUUUGCUGACGAGCGGCGGACGGGUGAGUAAUACUUGGGAACUUGCCUCUAGGCGGGGGACAACCACUGGAAACGGUGGCUAAUACCGCAUAAUGUCUACGGACCAAAGUGGGGGACCUUCGGGCCUCACACCUAGAGAUGGGCCCAAGCGGGAUUAGCUAGUUGGUGAGGUAACGGCUCACCAAGGCGACGAUCCCUAGCUGUUCUGAGAGGAUGAUCAGCCACACUGGGACUGAGACACGGCCCAGACUCCUACGGGAGGCAGCAGUGGGGAAUAUUGGACAAUGGGGGCAACCCUGAUCCAGCCAUGCCGCGUGUGUGAAGAAGGCCUUCGGGUUGUAAAGCACUUUCAGUGGUGAGGAAAGGGUAAUCGUUAAUAGCGGUUACAGUUGACGUUAGCCACAGAAGAAGCACCGGCUAACUCCGUGCCAGCGGCCGCGGUAAUACGGAGGGUGCAAGCGUUAAUCGGAAUUACUGGGCGUAAAGCGUACGUAGGCGGUGUGUUAAGCAAGAUGUGAAAGCCCCGGGCUCAACCUGGGAAUGGCAUUUUGAACUGGCACGCUAGAGUCCUGAAGAGGGUGGUAGAAUUUCCAGUGUAGCGGUGAAAUGCGUAGAUAUUGGAAGGAAUACCGGUGGCGAAGGCGGCCACCUGGUCAGAGACUGACGCUGAGGUACGAAAGCGUGGGGAGCAAACAGGAUUAGAUACCCUGGUAGUCCACGCCGUAAACGAUGUCAACUAGUUGUUCGUGUCUUUAAGACGUGAGUAACGCAGCUGACGCACUAAGUUGACCGCCUGGGGAGUACGGCCGCAAGGUUAAAACUCAAUGAAUUGACGGGGGGCCCGCACAAGCGGUGGAGCAUGUGGUUUAAUUCGAUG
Molecule: ribosomal RNA, 905 nt
Filed under: uncultured bacterium
Lineage: Bacteria
Description: bacterial SSU rRNA
Rfam family: Bacterial small subunit ribosomal RNA
Source: RNAcentral